RNAcentral lists this ribosomal RNA (253 nucleotides) under uncultured bacterium. RNAcentral's name for it is "partial 16S ribosomal RNA". It matches the Rfam family "Bacterial small subunit ribosomal RNA", at positions 524 to 776 of the family's 1533-position model. The record is from RNAcentral.
UACGGAGGGUGCAAACGUUGCUCGGAAUUAUUGGGCGUAAAGCGCACGUAGGCGGCCGAAAAAGUCGGGUGUGAAAGCCCUGGGCUCAACCCAGGAAGUGCACUCGAAACUGCUCGGCUUGAAUAUGGAAGAGGGUCGCGGAAUUCCCGGUGUAGAGGUGAAAUUCGUAGAUAUCGGGAGGAACACCAGUGGCGAAGGCGGCGACCUGGGCCAAUAUUGACGCUGAGGUGCGAAAGCGUGGGGAGCAAACAGG